UACGAAGGGGGCUAGCGUUGCUCGGAAUCACUGGGCGUAAAGGGCGCGUAGGCGGACUUUUUAAGUCAGGGGGUGAAAUCCUGAGGCUCAACCUCAGAACUGCCUUUGAUACUGAGGGUCUCGAGACCGGUAGAGGUAAGUGGAACUGCGAGUGUAGAGGUGAAAUUCGUAGAUAUUCGGAAGAACACCAGUGGCGAAGGCGCUU
This 205-nucleotide ribosomal RNA is filed under the name uncultured bacterium. Its description in RNAcentral is "partial 16S ribosomal RNA". It matches the Rfam family "Bacterial small subunit ribosomal RNA", at positions 524 to 727 of the family's 1533-position model. The record is from RNAcentral.